RNAcentral lists this ribosomal RNA (255 nucleotides) under uncultured bacterium. RNAcentral describes it as "partial 16S ribosomal RNA". It matches the Rfam family "Bacterial small subunit ribosomal RNA", at positions 524 to 776 of the family's 1533-position model. The record is from RNAcentral.
UACGAAGGGGGGCUAGCGUUGCUCGGAUUGACUGGGCGUAAAGGGCGCGUAGGCGGAUAGUACAGUCAGGCGUGAAAUUCCUGGGCUCAACCUGGGGGGCUGCGUUUGAUACGUAUUGUCUGGAGUUCGGAAGAGGGUCGUGGAAUUCCCAGUGUAGAGGUGAAAUUCGUAGAUAUUGGGAAGAACACCGGUGGCGAAGGCGGCGACCUGGUCCGAUACUGACGCUGAGGCGCGAAAGCGUGGGGAGCAAACAGG